RNAcentral lists this ribosomal RNA (441 nucleotides) under Streptococcus cristatus. RNAcentral's name for it is "bacterial SSU rRNA". It matches the Rfam family "Bacterial small subunit ribosomal RNA", at positions 28 to 462 of the family's 1533-position model. The record is from RNAcentral. Lineage: Bacteria; Bacillati; Bacillota; Bacilli; Lactobacillales; Streptococcaceae.
GACGAACGCGGCGGCGUGCCUAAUACAUGCAAGUAGAACGCUGAAGGGAGAGCUUGCUCUUCUGGAUGAGUUGCGAACGGGUGAGUAACGCGUAGGUAACCUGCCUGGUAGCGGGGGAUAACUAUUGGAAACGAUAGCUAAUACCGCAUAACAUUGACUAUUGCAUGAUAGUCAAUUGAAAGGUGCAAAUGCACCACUACCAGAUGGACCUGCGUUGUAUUAGCUAGUUGGUGGGGUAACGGCUCACCAAGGCGACGAUACAUAGCCGACCUGAGAGGGUGAUCGGCCACACUGGGACUGAGACACGGCCCAGACUCCUACGGGAGGCAGCAGUAGGGAAUCUUCGGCAAUGGACGGAAGUCUGACCGAGCAACGCCGCGUGAGUGAAGAAGGUUUUCGGAUCGUAAAGCUCUGUUGUAAAGAGAAAGAAACGAGUGUGAG